This 358-nucleotide ribosomal RNA is filed under the name Photobacterium aquimaris. RNAcentral describes it as "bacterial SSU rRNA". It matches the Rfam family "Bacterial small subunit ribosomal RNA", at positions 1 to 350 of the family's 1533-position model. Lineage: Bacteria; Pseudomonadati; Pseudomonadota; Gammaproteobacteria; Vibrionales; Vibrionaceae. The record is from RNAcentral.
ACUUUAAUUGAAGAGUUUGAUCAUGGCUCAGAUUGAACGCUGGCGGCAGGCCUAACACAUGCAAGUCGAGCGGUAACAGAAAGAAAGCUUGCUUUCUUUGCUGACGAGCGGCGGACGGGUGAGUAAUGCCUGGGAAUAUACCUGAUGUGGGGGAUAACUAUUGGAAACGAUAGCUAAUACCGCAUAAUCUCUUCGGAGCAAAGAGGGGGACCUUCGGGCCUCUCGCGUCAGGAUUAGCCCAGGUGGGAUUAGCUAGUUGGUGGGGUAAUGGCUCACCAAGGCGACGAUCCCUAGCUGGUCUGAGAGGAUGAUCAGCCACACUGGAACUGAGACACGGUCCAGACUCCUACGGGAGGCA